UACGGAGGGAGCUAGCGUUAUUCGGAAUUACUGGGCGUAAAGCGCACGUAGGCGGCUUUGUAAGUAAGAGGUGAAAGCCCAGAGCUCAACUCUGGAAUUGCCUUUAAGACUGCAUCGCUUGAAUCAUGGAGAGGUCAGUGGAAUUCCGAGUGUAGAGGUGAAAUUCGUAGAUAUUCGGAAGAACACCAGUGGCGAAGGCGGCUGACUGGACAUGUAUUGACGCUGAGGUGCGAAAGCGUGGGGAGCAAACAGG
RNAcentral lists this ribosomal RNA (253 nucleotides) under uncultured bacterium. Its description in RNAcentral is "partial 16S ribosomal RNA". It matches the Rfam family "Bacterial small subunit ribosomal RNA", at positions 524 to 776 of the family's 1533-position model. The record is from RNAcentral.